Armigeres subalbatus is the source of this 1931-nucleotide long non-coding RNA. RefSeq lists it as uncharacterized. NCBI's taxonomy places the organism in Eukaryota, Metazoa, Arthropoda, Insecta, Diptera, Culicidae. The record is from RefSeq and is a predicted model, not a curated record. The transcript is spliced from 8 exons.
UUGUUCCUUUGAUCGAUCGCCAUGUUUGUUUUUAAAUCGCGAGUGAAAACUGUCGUGCCCGUCGUGCCGGAAUACUUUUUAGGUAAACUCGAACAAAAACCAAUUCGAUAUUCCUACCUAGGUACUUGCAAGGUAAUGGGCUUGGCAUGCAAACUACUGCACUUACGCUCUGCUGUGUGUUGUGGCAACAAACAUCCGAGCCUACCGGAAAGUCCCACAGUGCUGUAGUAUCUAUUUCGAGAUCUGAUUACCGGCACGCAAGGCAAAAUAACACGGCUUCAGUUCACGGUACCAUUUCCGAAUCAUCGACAUCGAUUGUAAACAGACGAUUCGUUGAGUUUUUUGGCCCGAAAAGUACACCUCGCUGCUGGUGAGUGGGUCAUCGAUCUUGCUGUUAGUCAUAAAAGGUCGCCGAUUUAAGAGACCUCAAGUCUGGCGUAAACCUCCGUCACUAAGAGCUCCAACGGUCGUCACUUUAUAUCGGCCUGAUCAGACGGAUCGGUCCGCAUCUGAAGUGCUGUCUUCGAUCUUUCCACUUCCACUUCGUUGUCUUCCAGAUGGAACUAAAGUGGUAUCGCCACUAAUCAUAAUCAGAAAACCAGCAGUUCCUCAGCGACGGGUCGUCCGAGCGAAUAUUUGUUGCUGUCAUAUUUGACCGUAUGGGAAACUACUCCAGCAAAGCACAGCUAAAUCCUGGAUAAACUCAAUUUAGGAGUUGUGGGCUACACCUUUGACGACACGGCAUUUUAACUGUCUCCAUGCUGCCCCGGAUCUGAACGGCGUGUUCGAGCAGACAUACUGCCUCUGUAGACACUAUCACGCUAAACAAACCUGACACGACGGCCCUCCGACGAGACAACAGGUUUGCGCAGGCCCGCCUUUAAAACAACCAUUACGAACGACAUAGAAGAUAAUAAUACGACUCGAUGCAAUCGGCAACAACCUAGGCGACGAAUAAAGGAUCACGAUUGGAAGUUUGGAACAUGGAACUGCAAGUCGCUAGGCUACGAUGAAUUACAUCCCCGCAACUUCGAUGUCGUAGCGCUGCAGGAAAUCUGCUGCACAGGACAGAAAGUGUGGAAAAGCGGGCAUCGAGCGGCUACCUUCUACCUAAGGGGCUGUACACUUAUUACUGCUUACGUAAUAUGUGUACGGCCCCUAAGCUGUGACGCCACCAACGAGCUGGAAACCGGCUUCAUAGUGCUGGGCAAUAUGCGCCAACGUGUGAUUGGGUGGCAGCCAAUCAACGCAAGGAUUUGCAAGCUAAGGAUAAUAGUCCGUUUCUUCAACUAUAGCAUCUUCAACGUGCACUGCCCACACGAAGGGAGAUGCACAGCUGGAGACUGUGAAGAGACGGAGCAACUGUACCGCGCUAAUAACGCACGAAAGUUCUAUGAGAAGUUAAAUCGUUCAUCGUGAGGUGAUCCAAAGGUGGCGGCAGCACUACGAAGAGCACCUCAAUGGCGAUGUGGCAGACAACAGUGGUGGUAUGGCAAUGAACCUGGGAGCACGCGCGCAGGACAUGCGACUUCCGGAUACGAAUCUCCAAGUGUGCGGGCAGGUAUGAUACAAUCGAUCGGGAACAGCUAUGGCAGCUAAUGCACGAAAACGGAUUUCCGGAUCCGGGAUAAACUCAAUUUAGAAGUUAUGGGCUACACUUCUGACAAAACGGCAUUUUAACUGUCUCCAUGCUGCCCCGGAUCUGAACGGCGUGUUCGAGCAGACAUACUGUCUCUGUAGACACUAUCUUCAAGAAGUCGUCGAUGGAUCCACCAGGACAAUGUGCAACUUAUGCUUCCCAUAAUCUCCAUGCUUGACGUCCCUCACAGGGUCCGGCAGCGAUUCCAGACUGGCUGCUACUCAUCGCCGUCCUAAAAUGCAGUGUGAAUUUUUAUUGAGAAAAAUAAAAUAAUACAACUUCAACAAUCGAA